RNAcentral lists this ribosomal RNA (468 nucleotides) under uncultured bacterium. Its description in RNAcentral is "partial 16S ribosomal RNA". It matches the Rfam family "Bacterial small subunit ribosomal RNA", at positions 28 to 507 of the family's 1533-position model. The record is from RNAcentral.
GACGAACGCUGGCGGCGUGCUUAACACAUGCAAGUCGAACGGAAAGGCCCUGCUUUUGUGGGGUGCUCGAGUGGCGAACGGGUGAGUAACACGUGAGUAACCUGCCCUUGACUUUGGGAUAACUUCAGGAAACUGGGGCUAAUACCGGAUAGGAGCUCCUGCUGCAUGGUGGGGGUUGGAAAGUUUCGGCGGUUGGGGAUGGACUCGCGGCUUAUCAGCUUGUUGGUGGGGUAGUGGCUUACCAAGGCUUUGACGGGUAGCCGGCCUGAGAGGGUGACCGGCCACAUUGGGACUGAGAUACGGCCCAGACUCCUACGGGAGGCAGCAGUGGGGAAUAUUGCACAAUGGGCGGAAGCCUGAUGCAGCAACGCCGCGUGCGGGAUGACGGCCUUCGGGUUGUAAACCGCUUCCGCCUGUGACGAAGCGUGAGUGACGGUAAUGGGUAAAGAAGCACCGGCUAACUACGCG